GCCUGAGUGGCUUAGUCGGUUAAGUGUCUGACUUUGGCUCAGGUCAUGGUCUCAUGGUUCGUGAGUUCGAGCCCCACAUUGGGCU
Molecule: transfer RNA, 85 nt
Filed under: Felis catus (domestic cat)
Lineage: Eukaryota; Metazoa; Chordata; Mammalia; Carnivora; Felidae
Also listed under: 4 other names
Rfam family: tRNA
About the family: Transfer RNA (tRNA) molecules are approximately 80 nucleotides in length. Their secondary structure includes four short double-helical elements and three loops (D, anti-codon, and T loops).
Source: Rfam by way of RNAcentral